GAUAAACGCUGGCGGCGUGCCUAACACAUGCAAGUCGAACGAAGCUCUCUGAAUUGAGUUUUCGGACAAGAGGAAGAGAUGACUUAGUGGCGGACGGAUGAGUAAUGCGUGAGCAACCUGCCUUUCAGAGGGGGACAACAGUUGGAAACGACUGCUAAUACCGCAUAAUGUAUCUUGAUGGCAUCAUCGAAAUACCAAAGAUUAUAUCGCUGAAAGAUGGGCUCACGUCUGAUUAGCUAGUUGGUGAGGUAACGGCUCACCAAGGCUGCGAUCAGUAGCCGGACUGAGAGGUCGAACGGCCACAUUGGGACUGAGAUACGGCCCAGACUCCUACGGGAGGCAGCAGUGGGGAAUAUUGGGCAAUGGGCGCAAGCCUGACCCAGCAACGCCGCGUGAAGGAAGAAGGCUUUCGGGUUGUAAACUUCUUUUGGCAGGGACGAGACAAAUGACGGUACCUGCAGAAUAAGCACCGGCUAACUACGUGCCAGCAGCCGCAGUAA
RNAcentral lists this ribosomal RNA (500 nucleotides) under uncultured bacterium. RNAcentral describes it as "partial 16S ribosomal RNA". It matches the Rfam family "Bacterial small subunit ribosomal RNA", at positions 28 to 523 of the family's 1533-position model. The record is from RNAcentral.